Non-coding RNA from Oryctolagus cuniculus (rabbit), 415 nucleotides. Lineage: Eukaryota; Metazoa; Chordata; Mammalia; Lagomorpha; Leporidae. The record is from RefSeq and is a predicted model, not a curated record.
CUCCGCCCACGGGCCCGAGCGGCCUGCAAACCACCACCCCCGCCCCAGCCGGGUCCCCCAGCAGCGGGCCAGCGGACGCGGGAGCGGUCAGUUCACCGGAACCUGCCCGGGCCACCUUGGGCGUCCCCAUGCCGUGUCUACACGGGGCCCAGUGCCCUAGGCCGGCGUGGGACCAGGAGGGAGAGGCCUCACCUUGAGGAUUUCAUUGGAGCCGAACCCGGACAGCAUGAGGGUGUCCCGCUCCAUGUCCAGGAUGGCACAGGCCACCAGCAGGCGGAGGACAUCCGGGAAGGGGAACUCUCUCUUGAACCAGAUGAGCAGCCACCGGAAGCAGAAGCAGAGAGAGCCCGAGUCUUGGGAGUCUGGGGGAGGACAGGGCGCCAAGUCAGCCUCGCCCACAGCCGGAGCACCUGCC